UGUGGCUGGAUCACCUCCUUUAUAGGGAGACCUACCCGCUUGAGAAGGAUGAAGGGUAAAGGAUGAAGGAUGAAAUAAGCCCGAAGCCUGAAACUCUUCAGAUAUACACAUUACUUCUUCCAAGUUGGUCAUCCCAAGGUCGUUCGAGUAUAAGUGUCUGAGCUUUCAAACUAUUCGGUUCGGUUUCAUGGGCUAUUAGCUCAGGUGGUUAGAGCGCACCCCUGAUAAGGGUGAGGUCCCUGGUUCGAGUCCAGGAUGGCCCACCUUUACCGAGGACGAAGUGCUGAGGACUGAGGACUGAGUAGGAAUAUUCAUCUUUCAUCCUUUAUUCUUCAUCCUUUACAUGGGGGUUUAGCUCAGUUGGUAGAGCGCCUGCUUUGCAAGCAGGAUGUCAGCGGUUCGAGUCCGCUAACCUCCACUGGGCAAAUUGCCCAAUAUGAAGCAAUUUUAGAGAGUUCAGCAACUUAUCUGGAUAGUCUGGUCAAAGACUGUUGAGAGAGCCUGCUGGAUUUUACCAGCCAGAACCUAGAAAACUGCAUAGCGAGAAAUUGUCAGGUAGUAAAAUAUCAGACACCAAUGUUGUAGUGGUCAAGCUACAAAGGGCUGAUGGUGGAUACCUAGGCACACAGA
Molecule: transfer RNA, 630 nt
Filed under: Leptolyngbya sp. 'VRUC206/Kovacik et Albertano 1992'
Lineage: Bacteria; Bacillati; Cyanobacteriota; Cyanophyceae; Leptolyngbyales; Leptolyngbyaceae
Description: partial miscellaneous RNA
Rfam family: tRNA (bases 346-418)
Source: RNAcentral